UUUGACGUAAUGCGUGCUACGUUUAUCGAGACGUCAUAUUUAUCUAACAAUUAUUUCCAAUUGUUCUUUUUUUCCAUUAUUGGACUGGAGUGCAAUAAUAGAAUCUCUCCAGAAAUUCCGACUUAUCUACAUUGUACUUCGACGCUACUUUGAAUAGGAAUAUCUCGAGAAUAUAAGUAUUACUUCUUUUCUUGGUCUGUGAUUAAAAUUGAAUUUCAGCAAACGAAAGACAAAACGAAAAAUCAACAGUCAUUGGGCAAAUUGGAAGCAAUAAUCCGUCAAGUGAUUAAUUUUAGAAUUUUAUUGUUGCAAAAUGUAUUAGCAGAUGUUGAUUUAAAUCGAAAAUCGGGACGUUGAAGGAUUCGAAAUGAAUUUAGGUGUGUGAUUAAUUUAUUUAAAAUAUCUCAAUAUUAAUCACAUGUUUUAAGUUUUAGAAAGUGAGGGACGAAAUUAAAAUCAGUCGAUUGGCGAGGGUUGCAAUCGAAAAUCAACGGACGAUAGAAAAUGCAAAAUUUGCUUAAGUAAAUUCAAACGAUUUUAAAUUGAGAAUUUUCAUUAGCAGAAAUGCAUUCAGAGAUCCAGUUAUUUCUUUUAACAUAUCGUAUGAAAAAUAGAGUUUUAUAUACGUAGAAGUUACAUUCCGGUAUCCAUAUUUGACAAGAAUAUCAUCUGGUUUGUACUGCUUCAAGAUGGAAUUUCUUUUGACAUUUCUUUGUCGCAAUACAAGAAGGAAGAAUCGAGAUAAGUAAUUUCUAAUAUCUUCAGUAUGAUAAUUCUUUUGCAAAAUUUAACAUAUACUAUAUAUAUAUAUAUAUAAGCUUAGAUUGUAUACUAUUUAACAUUAUAAUAUGACAAAUCAGUAUACUUCUUACAUUCUUUUUUUAAUAAUAUCUCUCAAGUUAUUUUUUUCGGAAAGAACAUUUACAGAAUGGAUUUAUUCUCAUACUAUAACAAAAAACUUAUGAAAUAAACAGUUAAUAUAAUCAACGCAAUUUUCGAAAACGGAGAAAACUGAAAUACGUCGAUAAUGCUAACAUAUAAGCUGCUCGUUUUACAUAUAUGUUAUGUUGUAUUUAAAAUACUCGGAUCAGUAUCAACCUUAAAAGAUAAAUUUAUUAAACGAGACAACGAUUCUAUUACGAAUUUGCAAAUAUUUUUUAAUAAUUUUUUGCUGUUAUUCCAUCAUAACUUAUAACAAAAGCAAUUGGAAAUUCAUUACGUUGGCAUAAUAAUAGAAAAAUAUUCAUGCAUAACGUCAAGCUUACUAAAUUUUACAUAAAAAUUCUAUUUGAAUCUAUUUUUGUACCAUGUGUCUCCAAUUCCGGGUUUUAUAAUUCUGCCUAUUUGUUCUUCUGAAUGUAGUGAUUUCUAAAUAAAUCAACGAUGAUUAAGAUUUCUGGGAUUUUCGGUAUUACAAACUUAAUUUAAAAAUCCUGAUGAAAGUGAUAUUCUGAACUAAAAGGUUGAUGAGAAGAAGGAAUUUCGGUGAAAUCCAGUGAUCACAGGUUCUGUCAUAGAAUUCUGAAAAUUAGUAGAACUGAUAAAAUUACUAAUGAAAAAGUAUGGAGAAGAUCUCACGCCAUUCCAUGUCUUCUCAGGACUGACAAAGAGCAUAAAAUAGAAUUUGCAGGAUAUGUUCUAACAGGCUCUUCUUGCAAAAACACUCUUAAUACUGGAGAACUUUACUAAAAGAGAUCUUAAAUGCGAUAGGACAAGGAGAAACUUGGUUUCAGGAUUUCAGAGAUUAGACUAGCAUUCCUAGCUACCAAGUAUCCAAAAGAAAAGCAAGUGAUAGAAAAAGUUAACAAUUUAUGGUGGCAAACCUUCGUAACGGCACAUCAUGACUAGGAAAUGAAUCAGCAACUUGGUGAUAUCAUAUAUUAUAAUAAUUAUGUAGUAGUCUAUAUAUUUUAUAAUUAUAUAUUUUAGUAUACAAUAUCUAUUUUUAAAAUGCGCAAAUAUGUUAUGAAUUGUUUACAUUU
Centruroides sculpturatus (bark scorpion) is the source of this 1982-nucleotide long non-coding RNA. RefSeq lists it as uncharacterized. NCBI's taxonomy places the organism in Eukaryota, Metazoa, Arthropoda, Arachnida, Scorpiones, Buthidae. The transcript has 3 exons. The record is from RefSeq and is a predicted model, not a curated record.